RNAcentral lists this ribosomal RNA (667 nucleotides) under uncultured bacterium. Its description in RNAcentral is "bacterial SSU rRNA". It matches the Rfam family "Bacterial small subunit ribosomal RNA", at positions 141 to 808 of the family's 1533-position model. The record is from RNAcentral.
GGAUAACACUUAGAAAUAGGUGCUAAUACCGCAUAAGCGCACAGCUUCGCAUGAAGCAGUGUGAAAAACUCCGGUGGUAUACGAUGGAUCCGCGUCUGAUUAGCUGGUUGGCGGGGUAACAGCCCACCAAGGCGACGAUCAGUAGCCGGCCUGAGAGGGUGAACGGCCACAUUGGGACUGAGACACGGCCCAAACUCCUACGGGAGGCAGCAGUGGGGAAUAUUGCACAAUGGGGGAAACCCUGAUGCAGCGACGCCGCGUGAGUGAAGAAGUAUUUCGGUAUGUAAAGCUCUAUCAGCAGGGAAGAAAUACUGACCUUACGGUCAGCAGACGGUACCUGACUAAGAAGCCCCGGCUAACUACGUGCCAGCAGCCGCGGUAAUACGUAGGGGGCAAGCGUUAUCCGGAUUUACUGGGUGUAAAGGGAGCGUAGACGGCAGCGCAAGUCUGAAGUGAAAUCCCAUGGCUUAACCAUGGAACUGCUUUGGAAACUGUGCAGCUGGAGUGCAGGAGAGGUAAGCGGAAUUCCUAGUGUAGCGGUGAAAUGCGUAGAUAUUAGGAGGAACACCAGUGGCGAAGGCGGCUUACUGGACUGUAACUGACGUUGAGGCUCGAAAGCGUGGGGAGCAAACAAGAUUAGAUACCCUGGUAGUCCACGCCGUAAACG